AAACGUAUUUCUUUUCUUCAUUUAUGCAGGUCAUCUUCAUCAACAGGUGCGCCGGAUGUCGUAACCUCUGAACCUCCAGCUCAGACACAGACACCAACACCAGGAGACGGGGCGUCGUCUAGUACCAGUUGUGUGGGUAAGGCACCAGGAAGCUAUGCAAUCCCAGGAGACUGCAAAAACUAUAUGGUAUGCUCCAAUGGAAAUA
This 205-nucleotide long non-coding RNA is filed under the name Octopus sinensis (East Asian common octopus). RNAcentral's name for it is "uncharacterized LOC115227023, transcript variant X2". Lineage: Eukaryota; Metazoa; Mollusca; Cephalopoda; Octopoda; Octopodidae. The record is from RNAcentral.